UGGGGAAUAUUGGACAAUGGGGGCAACCCUGAUCCAGCAAUGCCGCGUGUGUGAAGAAGGUUUUCGGAUUGUAAAGCACUUUCGGCGGGGACGAUGAUGACGGUACCCGCAGAAGAAGCCCCGGCUAACUUCGUGCCAGCAGCCGCGGUAAUACGAAGGGGGCUAGCGUUGCUCGGAAUGACUGGGCGUAAAGGGCGUGUAGGCGGUUUGUACAGUCAGAUGUGAAAUCCCCGGGCUUAACCUGGGAGCUGCAUUUGAUAC
Molecule: ribosomal RNA, 261 nt
Filed under: uncultured bacterium
Lineage: Bacteria
Description: partial 16S ribosomal RNA
Rfam family: Bacterial small subunit ribosomal RNA
Source: RNAcentral